CGACUAGUGCACGCAAGAGAAGGACCUGCAGCGAGCCAAAUGCAGUUUUAAUGAAGCAGUCAUCAUUAGAAGAUAGUCGCCAAAGCGACCCUGUGCAACAUUAUGAUAAUGCAGGUGUAAUGAAGAAGUCCUUAGUAGAAGAUAGAGCGCAAAAAAGGUUCCGGGGUGAGCCUAUGCAACGAUAUAAUGUAAGUCUGUGCUUAGUACUUGUGACUAUCUCAUAUCGACAAUGCUUAAUACAUGUUUGCAUAGU
This is a non-coding RNA of Lolium perenne, 253 nucleotides long. The record is from RefSeq and is a predicted model, not a curated record. NCBI's taxonomy places the organism in Eukaryota, Viridiplantae, Streptophyta, Magnoliopsida, Poales, Poaceae.